This 253-nucleotide ribosomal RNA is filed under the name uncultured bacterium. RNAcentral describes it as "partial 16S ribosomal RNA". It matches the Rfam family "Bacterial small subunit ribosomal RNA", at positions 524 to 776 of the family's 1533-position model. The record is from RNAcentral.
UACGGGGGGGGCAAGCGUUGUUCGGAAUUACUGGGCGUAAAGGGCUUGUAGGCGGCCAACUAAGUCCGACGUGAAAUCCCCAGGCUUAACCUGGGAACUGCGUCGGAUACUGGAUGGCUUGAAUCCGGGAGAGGGAUGCGGAAUUCCAGGUGUAGCGGUGAAAUGCGUAGAUAUCCGGAGGAACACCGGUGGCGAAGGCGGCAUCCUGGACCGGCAUUGACGCUGAAAAGCGAAAGCUAGGGGAGCAAACGGG